This is a long non-coding RNA of Pan troglodytes (chimpanzee), 473 nucleotides long. RefSeq lists it as uncharacterized. The transcript is spliced from 3 exons. NCBI's taxonomy places the organism in Eukaryota, Metazoa, Chordata, Mammalia, Primates, Hominidae. The record is from RefSeq and is a predicted model, not a curated record.
AAAAUAAUUACAAAAGGACACAACAUAGGUGUUUUUCCCUUGAAAGCUGCAUUGGAUUCCAGGAGGCAGUGUUUGUAGAAGUGAUUUCAACCUGAAGAAUUAACAGGUCUGUGCGGGUUACAUAGUGGCGCCCGAACAGGGAUGGAAUCGGGUGCUCAAUAAGUGGCGCCUGAACACGGGACUUCAAGGAUGUGAACGAAGAAGGUCUGCUGAAGCAGAGGAACUGAAAUUGGCAAGGCAGACAGGGACCCCGGGACAAGUCUGCCGGCAGUGGAUAUAAGACACUGUGUGAAGAAUCCUAGCUGGCCUAAAGGAAGGUGAGAGAUGAAUCAUACCACCUGAGACUUUACUGGACCAUCCAGUCCCCAGCUGACCUGGCAGGUGAUCUGGCAACUGACCAUAGAUGCAUGAAUGGGCUCAGCUGAGGAUGACAUCUGGCCCAGAUUAGCAGACCCAUCUUGAUGACACACAGA